Long non-coding RNA from Chelonus insularis, 1827 nucleotides. RefSeq lists it as uncharacterized. NCBI's taxonomy places the organism in Eukaryota, Metazoa, Arthropoda, Insecta, Hymenoptera, Braconidae. The record is from RefSeq and is a predicted model, not a curated record. The transcript is spliced from 2 exons.
GUGAGACUUAGACAUUUAUUUAUUAUUGUUAUUAUUAUAAAAAUAUUUCUAUUCUUUCAAUCGUUAUUAAAUGUUUCCUUAAUUCUUCAAUCUUUUACUAAUGGACGAAUACGUGUUCAACUUAUAAAUAGAAACGUGAACAGAUUGCAUGCUCUGAGUCGAAUAAUCGCCUUGAUAGCAAUCAGGCUUGAUAAUAUCGCAGGACCAAAAUUUUUUUGAAAACUUCAAUCAACGAACUUAUGUUUGAAUAAGUAUAUAAAUUUAAUGACUCUGGCAGUUUUCGAUGAAAAAAUUUUUUUCCACAAAAAAUAAUUGUACUCAUCAAUCAUUUUUGACUGUCAAAAUUAAUAUUGAAAUUGGUAAAAGGAUAAAAAAAUUUUUCAUACUGCCAACAACUGCGAUUACUAAAAAACAAAAGAAUAAUUUUUAGUUUACAUUGUGAAUUUUUUUUGCAACUAAAGUUUUGUUAAUAUCAAUACAACACUAACGAGAGAAUGAUAUAAAGAAAUAUUUGAAAAAAUCUUUCUAACCGAGCUUAAAUUUGUUAAUUACUAAUAAAUUAGCCGUAAUGAACUUUUUUAAAAUAAAUAGCUUAACUGUUUUUAUAAGAGCUAAGAAAAUAAAUGUAAGCUAACACGUAAUCAUCAAGUAUAUAUGCCUUAUAAUCUAUCAAUAACAAAUAUUUUUAUUUCUAACUGUUUAAUGAUUUUUUAAAUCAUUUAAUCGUUUUUAAAUCAAUUACUUACACGCAGUAAAGUAUUUCAUUUCCAAUUAUAUAAACUGCCAGAAGUAUCUGUAGUAAUAAAGUAUAUUACAAUAGAAUUCAUAAUAUUCAAACCAAUUUAAACAUUUUCUUAAUAAAUCAAACAGAAUGUUGUGUAUUUACAAGUUAAAUUAUAUUAAUUAUUAGAAAUUAACUAUUUGGCCGAUAAAACAAUCAAUUAAAAAAUGUGUCAAUAUUCGAUUAUAUAAAGUGUAUAAGAAUUUUAUUAAAAAUAAUAUAUAUAAUAUUCCGUGAUUUUUUAAAAAAAAACUAAAUCUAAAUGAUUUAAAAAUUAUAAGAAAGAUGAAACAAGAAGACUUUAAUAUGCUAUAAUAAAGAAAUGUUAUUUAGUAAAAUUAUUAGGAAAAAAACCAAAUUACGCUUAAUAUAAUUAUUCUCGGUACUUUAGUGCGUGCUAAAAAAUCUUUUGUAUUCAAAGACUGAAGGUUCACUAAAUAGAAAAACAGGCUUUUACACCAAUAUUCAAUAAUAUUCUUCCCAUCAUGAAUAGAUAAUAAUAAAAUAGAAAAGAAAAGAAACAGAAAGUUUUAAUUCAUAGCUGCAAAUUAAAUAUAUAACUGAUAUUGAAUACCUAAUUAAAAAUUUGUAGCUGGCUUUUUCAAGUUUGACCAAUUUUUGUGAAAUCGAAGUUUUUAUAUAAAAACAUUAUUUACAUUAAAAAAAAGUAGUACUCGCAAACAAUAGUAAUUAAAUUAAAAAAAAUAGGAAUAAAUUAUACAAAAUUAUAAAAAUAACAAAAAAAAUUAAUUAAUGACUGAAAUAAUCAAUCAUACUAGAAUACAUACGUUAGAUAAUAGCAUUAUGAAAGAAGAUAUAAUACAGAUGAAAAAUAAAAUUAUUGAGAGAAUAAUAAUAUUUGUUGCAACUGAGUAAUAUGGCUGUACACACAUUCAAUUGAACUUUAUAUCAUCACUUUAUAAAAAAUAUAUAUGUACAAUAUAUAGAUAUAGAUAUAAAUAUAUAUUACAAUUAAUUCAUAUGAAAAAUAUAUGUAUGUACAUACAUGGAGUAAAAUAUAACAAGCUAUUAAUAUGUUGAACAUA